GAUGUAACGGGGCUAAACCAUGCACCGAAGCUGCGGCAGCGACGCUGAUGCGUUGUUGGGUAGGGGAGCGUUCUGUAAGCCUGCGAAGGUGGCCUGUGAGGGUUGCUGGAGGUAUCAGAAGUGCGAAUGCUGACAUAAGUAACGAUAAAGCGGGUGAAAAGCCCGCUCGCCGGAAGACCAAGGGUUCCUGUCCAACGUUAAUCGGGGCAGGGUGAGUCGACCCCUAAGGCGAGGCCGAAAGGCGUAGUCGAUGGGAAACGGGUUAAUAUUCCCGUACUUGGUGUUACUGCGAAGGGGGGACGGAGAAGGCUAUGUUGGCCGGGCGACGGUUGUCCCGGUUUAAGCGUGUAGGUGUGUGUUCCAGGUAAAUCCGGUUCACUUUAACACUGAGGCGUGAUGACGAGGCACUACGGUGCUGAAGCAACAAAUGCCCUGCUUCCAGGAAAAGCCUCUAAGCAUCAGGUAACAUCAAAUCGUACCCCAAACCGACACAGGUGGUCAGGUAGAGAAUACCAAGGCGCUUGAGAGAACUCGGGUGAAGGAACUAGGCAAAAUGGUGCCGUAACUUCGGGAGAAGGCACGCUGACACGUAGGUGAAGUGAUUUACUCAUGGAGCUGAAGUCAGUCGAAGAUACCAGCUGGCUGCAACUGUUUAUUAAAAACACAGCACUGUGCAAACACGAAAGUGGACGUAUACGGUGUGACGCCUGCCCGGUGCCGGAAGGUUAAUUGAUGGGGUCAGCGCAAGCGAAGCUCCUGAUCGAAGCCCCGGUAAACGGCGGCCGUAACUAUAACGGUCCUAAGGUAGCGAAAUUCCUUGUCGGGUAAGUUCCGACCUGCACGAAUGGCGUAAUGAUGGCCAGGCUGUCUCCACCCGAGACUCAGUGAAAUUGAACUCGCUGUGAAGAUGCAGUGUACCCGCGGCAAGACGGAAAGACCCCGUGAACCUUUACUAUAGCUUGACACUGAACAUUGAGCCUUGAUGUGUAGGAUAGGUGGGAGGCUUUGAAGUGUGGACGCCAGUCUGCAUGGAGCCGACCUUGAAAUACCACCCUUUAAUGUUUGAUGUUCUAACGUGGACCCGUGAUCCGGGUUGCGGACAGUGUCUGGUGGGUAGUUUGACUGGGGCGGUCUCCUCCUAAAGAGUAACGGAGGAGCACGAAGGUUGGCUAAUCCUGGUCGGACAUCAGGAGGUUAGUGCAAUGGCAUAAGCCAGCUUGACUGCGAGCGUGACGGCGCGAGCAGGUGCGAAAGCAGGUCAUAGUGAUCCGGUGGUUCUGAAUGGAAGGGCCAUCGCUCAACGGAUAAAAGGUACUCCGGGGAUAACAGGCUGAUACCGCCCAAGAGUUCAUAUCGACGGCGGUGUUUGGCACCUCGAUGUCGGCUCAUCACAUCCUGGGGCUGAAGUAGGUCCCAAGGGUAUGGCUGUUCGCCAUUUAAAGUGGUACGCGAGCUGGGUUUAGAACGUCGUGAGACAGUUCGGUCCCUAUCUGCCGUGGGCGCUGGAGAACUGAGGGGGGCUGCUCCUAGUACGAGAGGACCGGAGUGGACGCAUCACUGGUGUUCGGGUUGUCAUGCCAAUGGCACUGCCCGGUAGCUAAAUGCGGAAGAGAUAAGUGCUGAAAGCAUCUAAGCACGAAACUUGCCCCGAGAUGAGUUCUCCCUGAGACUUUAGGUCUCCUGAAGGAACGUUGAAGACGACGACGUUGAUAGGCCGGGUGUGUAAGCGCAGCGAUGCGUUGAGCUAACCGGUACUAAUGAACCGUGAGGCUUAACCUU
Molecule: ribosomal RNA, 1779 nt
Filed under: Salmonella enterica
Lineage: Bacteria; Pseudomonadati; Pseudomonadota; Gammaproteobacteria; Enterobacterales; Enterobacteriaceae
Description: partial 23S ribosomal RNA
Rfam family: Bacterial large subunit ribosomal RNA
Source: RNAcentral